RNAcentral lists this long non-coding RNA (218 nucleotides) under Elaeis guineensis (African oil palm). RNAcentral's name for it is "long non-coding RNA (EGUI_LNC075997)". The record is from RNAcentral. Lineage: Eukaryota; Viridiplantae; Streptophyta; Magnoliopsida; Arecales; Arecaceae.
AUGGUACAAUCAAACUACAAUAACCUCAUUGUUAACAGUCGAAGUACUGCAGGUUAAAGAACUAGUUAUACUACUAUAGUAUCAAGAAAGUCACUGACAAAUAAGUAGACAUCUAAGUAACUUCUUGUAUUAAUCACUCUUAGUAUCUUUGUUCUCUAAUAAAUACCACACUCUCACUCCAAUGUCUCUAUACUGUAGGCAUGAGAUUCGUCUACCCU